This 678-nucleotide ribosomal RNA is filed under the name Dorstenia psilurus. Its description in RNAcentral is "eukaryotic LSU rRNA". The stretch from base 260 to 415 matches the Rfam family "5.8S ribosomal RNA". Lineage: Eukaryota; Viridiplantae; Streptophyta; Magnoliopsida; Rosales; Moraceae. The record is from RNAcentral.
GGAAGUAAAAGUCGUAACAAGGUUUCCGUAGGUGAACCUGCGGAAGGAUCAUUGUCGAGCAUAACAGAAAGACCCGCGAACACAUCCUCCACACGCUUGGCUUUGCUCAGGUCGUGCGGCCUAGGCCGUCACCCGUGGCACAAGCAACCAACCCCCGGCGCAAAAAGCGUCAAGGAAAAACAAAGAAACGACCCAUGCUGCCACGCUUGCGGAAAUGCAGUGUCGUGGUGGUGGAUUCGCAGUUGAGUAAAGUCUAAACGACUCUCGGCAACGGAUAUCUCGGCUCUCGCAUCGAUGAAGAACGUAGCGAAAUGCGAUACUUGGUGUGAAUUGCAGAAUCCCGUGAACCAUCGAAUUUUUGAACGCAAGUUGCGCCCGAAGCCAUCAGGCCAAGGGCACGUCUGCCUGGGCGUCCCACGAUAUUGGCCCGUGUUUGUUGAGCGGGCUGAAAGUGGCCUCCCGUGAGCGUAAGCUUGCGGUUGGUCCAAACUCGGGUCCUCGGCCACGCGGUCGUGGCGAAAGGUGGUUGCUUAAAAUUUGACCGAGCAUCGUCGCGUGCGUAGGCCUCGUAAGAGGACCCAUAAAAAAACCCCGAAGCAAUCGUCGAGGAUGCUUGAAAUGGGACCCCAGGUCAGGCGGGGUUACCCGCUGAGUUUAAGCAUAUCAAUAAGCGGAGGA